UUUGUUCGGCCCCCCUCUUUCUCACUCCCUCUCUCGUCCCUCGCUCCUCGUCCCUCGUCGGAGGCACCCAGCUUGAGCUGUGAUUCGAGCGGAGUCAGCGGAACUUCAUCGGCCUCGGAGUGGUGAUGCGAGCCUUGCUGCCAUCCGUUCCCAGCGGAAGCAGGACUGAGCUGCUGUGGCCCCCAAAAUAGUCCCCUGUGACCACCCGGGACACAGCGAGCCUGUGCCGAGCCAGACCAAAUCAGGCGGAGAAUCGGUGACUUGGACUACACCCAGAGUGAAGAGGACUAAUGGGACACUGUUGGAUCCACUGGUGGUGAUAUCCCUCUCUAUCUCUUUCUCUCUUGCGUGCGCACGCAUGCACUCUCUCUCUCUCUCCCCUCUCUUUUGAUGAAUGUUGAUCUGUUCAAAAGGUGCGGCAUGGAACUUGUUUAUGUAGUUAAAGUAAAUGCUGUCGAGUUAUCAUAUUUAGCCACAUGCCUUGUCUUUUGUGUUAAUAAAUCAUAAAGCUGG
Dromaius novaehollandiae (emu) is the source of this 513-nucleotide long non-coding RNA. RefSeq lists it as uncharacterized. Lineage: Eukaryota; Metazoa; Chordata; Aves; Casuariiformes; Dromaiidae. The record is from RefSeq and is a predicted model, not a curated record. The transcript is spliced from 3 exons.